GUGAGGAAUAUUGGUCAAUGGGCGAGAGCCUGAACCAGCCAAGUCGCGUGAAGGAAGACGGCCCUACGGGUUGUAAACUUCUUUUGCAAUGGAAUAAAAAGAGUUACGUGUAAUUCAUUGUAUGUACAUUGCGAAUAAGGAUCGGCUAACUCCGUGCCAGCAGCCGCGGUAAUACGGAGGAUCCGAGCGUUAUCCGGAUUUAUUGGGUUUAAAGGGUGCGUAGGCGGAUUGGAAAGUCAGCGGUGAAAGUUUGCAGCGUAACUGUAAAAUUGCCAUUGAAACUGUCAGUCUUGAGUGCAAAUGAGGUAGGCGGAAUGUGUUGUGUAGCGGUGAAAUGCAUAGAUAUAACACAGAACACCAAUUGCGAAGGCAGCUUACUGGGAUGCAACUGACGCUGAGGCACGAAAGCGUGGGGAUCAAACAGGAUUAGAUACCCUGGUAGUCC
This 445-nucleotide ribosomal RNA is filed under the name uncultured bacterium. Its description in RNAcentral is "partial 16S ribosomal RNA". It matches the Rfam family "Bacterial small subunit ribosomal RNA", at positions 354 to 796 of the family's 1533-position model. The record is from RNAcentral.